This is a long non-coding RNA of Dromaius novaehollandiae (emu), 3368 nucleotides long. RefSeq lists it as uncharacterized. NCBI's taxonomy places the organism in Eukaryota, Metazoa, Chordata, Aves, Casuariiformes, Dromaiidae. The transcript is spliced from 3 exons. The record is from RefSeq and is a predicted model, not a curated record.
GACGGGACGAAGCGGAUCGGACCGGACCGGACCGGACCGGACCGGGGGCGGCGCGGGUGGCGGCCCGGAGGCGGGUGCCCGCUCCCUCCGCCGCCGACGGAGCCCCCGGGACGGGCAGGGCACGGCGGGGUUCCGCGGCGCCGAGGUGGUGGCAGCGGCCGCUGGUGCGAGGAGCGCCGCGUCCAGGCGCUGGGAGUGGGCGCUCGCUGCCGCCGGGGCGGGGAGCGUCGCCUUGCGCAGCCCUCUCAGCGCGCGGCGGGGAGACCCGAGGGCGCAGACGCGAGUGAGGCGGUGGCGGGAGGUGCCGCACCCCGGGGGCCCCGGCAGCCCGCCCGCACCCCCCACCGAAGGCCGGUGUCCGUCCGCGGCGGAAGGCGCGCGCUCACCCGCCUCGCUGGUGGCGAGGGGUGGCGGGGGCGAUCGCAGGGUAACUCGGGCUGGAGGGCAGCUCCGGAGGUCUCCCGUCCAACCUCCUGCCCCAAGCAGGGUCACCUUGGCGUCAGGCCGGGCUGCUCAGGGCUUUCUCCAGUCGGGUCUUGAAAACCUCCAAGGAUGGAGACGGCAGCCUGCUCCACUGCUUGUGUGUCCUCAUGGGGAAAAAGGGUUCCCCACACUCAGUCUGAGCCUCUCUUGUUCCAGCCUGUGCCUCUUCUCUCCCCCUCCCACCAUGCACCACAGUGAAGAGCCCAGGCCAGUCUUGAAAACCUCCUCGUAGGUCCUGGGUGGCUGCUCUCUGGUGCCCCUGAACCUUCCCUCCUCCAGGUUGAAUGAGCCCAGGUCCCUCAGCCUCAUCUCGCAGGGAGGUGCUCCAAACCUGACCAUCUCGGUGGUCCUCCGCUGACUCGCUGCAGUUGUCAAUGGCUUCGUUGUACUGGGGGACCCAAACUGGGCACAAUGAUGUCUAGACGUUGUCUAACGAGUGCUGAGUAAAGGCAAUAAUCCCGUCCCUCGAGCUACUGGCUGUGUUCCUGUUGAUACAGCCCAGGGCGGUGUUGGCCUGAGGACGAGCUGUUUGAGCUAAAAGAAGAUGUCACAAAAACCAGACACGGUUCAAAUUACACAUCAGUAUUUGAAUUUAAUGGUGGAAGGGAAAGGGACAGGGACGUUUCAAGAAGAAGCUUCAGAAACUUACACAAAACUUAAGCAAAAACUUAUGACCAUGAGACCACUGUAGUUUUAUUCAAAAUAUGAAUUGCUUUAUGUUACAGAAUGAGUUAGCAUGUUUCAAGAAGUGUGUAUCUGAGAUAGUUAAAUCUGAUUGUUUCGUGAAGUCCAUGCAGUUUAUUUGUUCGAUCCCUCCAGCAAUGUACUGUUUGAAAGUCGUAUUAGUCAAAGCUGACUAGAGUCACUGUUAAGUCACACAAGUGAGAGAUGUAGCUGGUAUUGCUUAUUCAAGGGGUGAGAAUACAGGACUGAGUCCAGCAAGCAACCAGAAGCUCCAAUUUCUGUCUGAGCUCCUUUUUUUCUGGAAACCAGGUCUCGUGAGACUAUACUGCUUCCUGGCUGAAUGGAAAAGAAGUAGCCAUUGAAGUACAGAGCCUAAGGCUAAUUCCUGCUCUAACUCCCAUUGAAACCAACAGGAUAUCAUUGCUUAAAUAAUUUAGACAAUUAAGCUUUUGGAUGCUACAAUGAGGAGGACCAUGCAAGUGCACUGAGAACAUCCCACCCGUCAACUCAGUAUCUUUCCAGCCCACAUCAGUGUGAGGUCAGUAGGACAGGAGAGAAUCCCGACAAAGAGACAGAACCAUCAGUUACCGCAGUGAGAGCGAAGCAUGGAGGGAGGCAGGACAGACAUGGAGAGAGCUCUCUUCAGAUUCAGCUCAGGAACUGUCUAAUUCUCCAGACCUGCCCAUGCUGGAAAACCAAAAGCUUCUGUGCAGGAGGAGGGAUGUGCUUCUGGUGCACAGUACAGUUCAGCUGCCAAAGUUGUGCUGUGUCAAGACUCUUUGAGGCUGUGAAGGAGUCUGAAGAGGAUUUAACUCAUGAUGAUGAAACAGGACCAGAACACUGCACUGCACAAAGCAGAGAUCAAACACAUUUGCCCUCAAAAGAAGUGUAAGAAAUUGUGAGAGAGCUGCAAUGCCUUGGUGAGCUGAGAAUGAGCAGCCUGAGGCAAUACAUAUCCAGAGAGCAGCAAAUUCAGCAAAGCAGCAGCUAAACACCUCAUUCUGCAGCCUAAGUAUAACCCGUUUCUUGUGAGAUUUCCCUAUACCUAAGAGAGAAGGAAGCUUUUAUUUUGGGGGGGGGAAGAAAAUGUAAUCAAAUUGGAGAUCGAAUCUCUGCUCUGAAUUCACCAUACGAUUGUAUGCUAAAUACAUUCUGACAACUGCGAUUCUCCAUUCAUCACUGAAGCUUUGCCUUCAUUGCAAAACUUCUUGCACUUAUGCCUUAAUCACACUUCUAGUGAUAUAGAUGGCUCAAGUAUCCAUUGACUGCAGUGGGACAAUAAUCUUUAAUGUGCAAUUAUCAAAUUUCUGUCUGCAGACACUAUUUAAAACUGAGUCAUGUUAUAUGAUCGUGCAUUCAGGAAAUGAAGGCGACAGUCUCUGACUGGAAUUUCAUCUAUUUUAAAGCAGAGACAAUUCAGGAAAGAAACUGUAGACUGUGGGUCAGCAAUAGACUGAUUCACAUUAAAAAGAGAAAACUAUGCAAAAGCUAUAGCUUGCUAUGAUUUGGUUACUUUAUGAAUCUCACAAAGUAUUCACCAACACGUAGCAUUUUUCUUUUACCUCUUUUCAAUUCAUGCAAAGAAUAAACAGCAUGCAUCUUUCAACAUAGAAGCAUAUCAUUGGUUUAAUAUGCAUUGCUUUGAACUAUAUUUCAACAGGAUGCUGCCAAACAGACAAUAAAUACUAGUUUCCAGUCCUCAAUUGCAACUCCUUUCUGAAAAAACUAGUCAUGCAAAUUGACUAUUUUGGGAAAAUAAUUCUGUUUUCACCCUUUUUUUAAAUGUGUAAUGUCCAUGUUUUUAUUUUUAAAUGCUGCAGACCCACCAUACAAUCCUAAUCCAAAUGCACUAUAUGUUUAUUCAGUAUUAGUACUAAUAACAAUGAAUUACUUCUGCAGCUGACUAACUCUCAGAUCCAUGCAGGAGAAGAAUAAUGUAACAGUUGCCAAAGAAAAUCCAAGGCCAGCCCAGUCCCUGUUCCUAAGAUUUCACUUUGCGGUUUUCUGACAGGAGUUGCCUUUUUUGCUAUUGGAAAAGUGUUUGGCUAUUGAGUAAUAACUGGUACCUUAUUCAUACUGCACUUUUCAAAGGAAGUUACAAAGGUUAGCUAAUUUAUCUUGUGCCUAGGAUAUACUGACAUGCACCUUAUACAUUAAAGAAGCCAAAUUGGAGGCAAUAAAGAACUCCUAAAACCAUAGAA